This is a long non-coding RNA of Bufo bufo (common toad), 229 nucleotides long. RefSeq lists it as uncharacterized. The transcript has 3 exons. Lineage: Eukaryota; Metazoa; Chordata; Amphibia; Anura; Bufonidae. The record is from RefSeq and is a predicted model, not a curated record.
AGUAAACUGUACCAGCGUGUCGGACAUGCCCGGGAAGGAAUAACAAGUUUCCUGCCAGCCGUGGAGUCAAGGGGAUCCGAUUAGACUCCAAGGAUGACAGUAAACUGUACCAGCGUGUCGGACAUGCCCGGGAAGGAACAACAAGUUUCCUGCCAGCCGUGGAGUCAAGGGGAUCCGAUUAGACUCCAAGGAUGACAGUAAACUGUACCAGCGUGUCGGACAUGCCCGG